UUGACAUUACAGGCUGUCGACCUUUCUAACGACAACUUCAAUUUAUUUUGAAACAUUAGAAUCUCAACUUAUAACACAUUUUCCAUUGAAUCCCAGUUUCAAUAUAGCUUGAUACUCAAAGCAUAAUAUAACUUGAACAGUAUGAACCUAGUUUACAUUGUAAACAGUAGGUACAAUGAACUCCUUCAGUUUUCAGAUAAAAAAAUGGGAAAUUACUGUAAAUUAUGAAUUAAAAGUGUCUUUUACUGUGCCAUAUGUAAUUUAGGAAUUAAAUAUAGACUGAUUAAAGCUUUAUAAACUUAGUAUUCCUUAAAUAUCUGAGUGGGCGUUUGGUUUUGUAAUAUCGUAAAUUAACUCGUUUAUUUUAAACAAGAUAUAAUUAGUUGUGAUUAACUUACUUUAUAAGUGAUUUAGUGUUCGUUACACGUUGUUAGUUAAUGUUGUUUAAUAGAAUUUUAAGGUGGAAACACUAAUGUUAGGCAUGCAUAUGCAGAGGAGAAGCAUGGAGGGCAGCAGUGAGGCUAGUUACUGUGAAAGGGACACCUUGGACGAAUGGGGUAGCCGCUCCUCCCUCAGCCAAGUGGAAGAAGUAAGUAUAUCAGUAGCAGAGUUGCCAGAAUUUUUUAAUUUUUCAGCCUAUUAUGUAAAUAAUAAGGUUAUAAUUCCUGUGACACGCGUAACUGUCAUGCAAUGUCAUGUGAAUGUCAUGUUACCCGGCUACCAUGUCAAGCAUUCAGUUGCUAAA
Manduca sexta (tobacco hornworm) is the source of this 745-nucleotide long non-coding RNA. RefSeq lists it as uncharacterized. The transcript has 3 exons. The record is from RefSeq and is a predicted model, not a curated record. Lineage: Eukaryota; Metazoa; Arthropoda; Insecta; Lepidoptera; Sphingidae.